CAAGUGGUCUGAACUGAAAGCCGUUCCAAUGACGGGAAAACCAAGAUGCUCUCCAUUUGCUCAGAACCUCCUGUGAGGAAAAUGUGAACAGUUCACGUGUGGGUCUAGGAGGAGAUCCAAAGGAGGUGUGGCUGGUACCGGACGAGCCCAUGAAAUUGAAGACAAGACUGUCCUCCAAAAUUGAGCCAUCAAUUAAGAAAUAAUCUGGGCUUCCCUGGUGGCGCAGUGGUUGAGAGUCUGCCUGCCAAUGCAGGGGACACGGGUUCGAGCCCUGGUCUGGGAAGAUCCCACAUGCCGCGGAGCAACUAGGCCCGUGAGCCACAACUACUGAGCCUGCGUGUCUGGAGCCUGUGCUCCGCAACAAGAGAGGCCGCGAUAGUGAGAGGCCCGCGCAUCGCGAUGAAGAGUGGCCCCCGCUUGCUGCAACUAGAGAAAGCCCUCGCACAGAAACGAAG
This is a long non-coding RNA of Balaenoptera ricei (Rice's whale), 455 nucleotides long. RefSeq lists it as uncharacterized. The record is from RefSeq and is a predicted model, not a curated record. Lineage: Eukaryota; Metazoa; Chordata; Mammalia; Artiodactyla; Balaenopteridae. The transcript has 3 exons.